RNAcentral lists this ribosomal RNA (460 nucleotides) under uncultured bacterium. Its description in RNAcentral is "partial 16S ribosomal RNA". It matches the Rfam family "Bacterial small subunit ribosomal RNA", at positions 338 to 795 of the family's 1533-position model. The record is from RNAcentral.
CCUACGGGAGGCAGCAGUGAGGAAUAUUGGUCAAUGGACGAGAGUCUGAACCAGCCAAGUCGCGUGAAGGAUGACUGCCCUAUGGGUUGUAAACUUCUUUUAUAAAGGAAUAAAACGAGGCACGUGUGCCUGUUUGCAUGUACUUUAUGAAUAAGGAUCGGCUAACUCCGUGCCAGCAGCCGCGGUAAUACGGAGGAUCCGAGCGUUAUCCGGAUUUAUUGGGUUUAAAGGGAGCGUAGAUGGGUUGUUAAGUCAGUUGUGAAAGUUUGCGGCUCAACCGUAAAAUUGCAAUUGAUACUGGCAGUCUUGAGUACAGUUGAGGUAGGCGGAAUUCGUGGUGUAGCGGUGAAAUGCUUAGAUAUCACGAAGAACCCCGAUUGCGAAGGCAGCUUACUAAACUGUGACUGACAUUGAUGCUCGAAAGUGUGGGUAUCAAACAGGAUUAGAUACCCUGGUAGUC